RNAcentral lists this ribosomal RNA (485 nucleotides) under uncultured Methanolinea sp. RNAcentral's name for it is "bacterial SSU rRNA". It matches the Rfam family "Archaeal small subunit ribosomal RNA", at positions 852 to 1338 of the family's 1478-position model. Lineage: Archaea; Methanobacteriati; Methanobacteriota; Methanomicrobia; Methanomicrobiales; Methanoregulaceae. The record is from RNAcentral.
AAACUUAAAUGAAUUGACGGGGAGCACCACAACGGGUGGAGCUUGCGGUUAAUUGGAUUCAACGCCGGAAAUCUUACCGGGACCGACAGCAAUAUGAAGGCCAGGCUGAAGACUUUGCCGGAUUAGCUGAGAGGUGGUGCAUGGCCGUCGUCAGUUCGUACUGUGAAGCAUCCUGUUAAGUCAGGCAACGAGCGAGACCCACGCCCACAGUUGCCAGCGUACUCUCCGGAGUGACGGGUACACUGUGGGGACCGCCGCUGCUAAAGCGGAGGAAGGAAUGGGCAACGGUAGGUCAGUAUGCCCCGAAUAUCCCGGGCUACACGCGGGCUACAAUGGGUGGGACAAUGGGUAUCGACACCGAAAGGUGAAGGCAAUCUCCUAAACCCAUCCGUAGUUCGGAUUGUGGGCUGCAACUCGCCCACAUGAAGCUGGAAUCUGUAGUAAUCGUGUCUCAAAAUGGCACGGUGAAUAUGUCCCUGCUCCUU